GACGAACGCUGGCGGCGUGCUUAACACAUGCAAGUCGAACGGAAAGGCCCUGCUUUUGUGGGGUGCUCUAGUGGCGAACGGGUGAGUAACACGUGAGUAACCUGCCCUUGACUUUGGGAUAACUUCAGGAAACUGGGGCUAUACCGGAUAGGAGCUCCUGCUGCAUGGUGGGGGUUGGAAAGUUUCGGCGGUUGGGGAUGGACUCGCGGCUUAUCAGCUUGUUGGUGGGGUAGUGGCUUACCAAGGCUUUGACGGGUAGCCGGCCUGAGAGGGUGACCGGCCACAUUGGGACUGAGAUACGGCCCAGACUCCUACGGGAGGCAGCAGUGGGGAAUAUUGCACAAUGGGCGGAAGCCUGAUGCAGCAACGCCGCGUGCGGGAUGACGGCCUUCGGGUUGUAAACCGCUUUCGCCUGUGACGAAGCGUGAGUGACGGUAAUGGGUAAAGAAGCACCGGCUAACUACGUG
RNAcentral lists this ribosomal RNA (467 nucleotides) under uncultured bacterium. RNAcentral's name for it is "partial 16S ribosomal RNA". It matches the Rfam family "Bacterial small subunit ribosomal RNA", at positions 28 to 507 of the family's 1533-position model. The record is from RNAcentral.